UAUACAUGCAGUCGAGCGGAGUCAAUGAGAAGCUUGCUUCUUUGAGACUUACGGCGGACGGGUGAGUAACACGUAGGCAACCUGCCCAUAAGACUGGGAUAACUACCGGAAACGGUAGCUAAUACCGGAUAGGUUCUUUUCUCGCAUGAGAGAAGAAAGAAAGACGGAGCAAUCUGUCACUUAUGGAUGGGCCUGCGGCGCAUUAGCUAGUUGGUGGGGUAAAGGCCUACCAAGGCGACGAUGCGUAGCCGACCUGAGAGGGUGAUCGGCCACACUGGGACUGAAACACGGCCCAGACUCCUACGGGAGGCAGCAGUAGGGAAUCUUCCGCAAUGGACGAAAGUCUGACGGAACAACGCCGCGUGAGUGAUGAAGGUUUUCGGAUCGUAAAGCUCUGUUGCCAGGGAAGAACGUCCUUGAGAGUAACUGCUCAAGGAGUGACGGUACCUGAGAAGAAAGCCCCGGCUAACUACGUGCCAGCAGCCGCGGUAAUACGUAGGGGGCAAGCGUUGUCCGGAAUUAUUGGGCGUAAAGCGCGCGCAGGCGGUUAUUUAAGUUGGGUGUUUAAUCCCGGGGCUCAACCUCGGGUCGCACCCAAAACUGGGUAACUUGAGUACAGAAGAAGAAAGUGGAAUUCCACGUGUAGCGGUGAAAUGCGUAGAGAUGUGGAGGAACAC
This 677-nucleotide ribosomal RNA is filed under the name Bacillus sp. (in: firmicutes). Its description in RNAcentral is "bacterial SSU rRNA". It matches the Rfam family "Bacterial small subunit ribosomal RNA", at positions 50 to 709 of the family's 1533-position model. The record is from RNAcentral. Lineage: Bacteria; Bacillati; Bacillota; Bacilli; Caryophanales; Bacillaceae.